AAAUUGAAGAGUUUGAUCAUGGCUCAGAUUGAACGCUGGCGGCAGGCCUAACACAUGCAAGUCGAGCGGUAACACAGGGAGCUUGCUCCUGGGUGACGAGCGGCGGACGGGUGAGUAAUGUCUGGGAAACUGCCUGAUGGAGGGGGAUAACUACUGGAAACGGUAGCUAAUACCGCAUAACGUCGCAAGACCAAAGAGGGGGACCUUCGGGCCUCUUGCCAUCAGAUGUGCCCAGAUGGGAUUAGCUAGUAGGUGGGGUAACGGCUCACCUAGGCGACGAUCCCUAGCUGGUCUGAGAGGAUGACCAGCCACACUGGAACUGAGACACGGUCCAGACUCCUACGGGAGGCAGCAGUGGGGAAUAUUGCACAAUGGGCGCAAGCCUGAUGCAGCCAUGCCGCGUGUAUGAAGAAGGCCUUCGGGUUGUAAAGUACUUUCAGCGGGGAGGAAGGUGUUGAGGUUAAUAACCUCAGCAAUUGACGUUACCCGCAGAAGAAGCACCGGCUAACUCCGUGCCAGCAGCCGCGGUAAUACGGAGGGUGCAAGCGUUAAUCGGAAUUACUGGGCGUAAAGCGCACGCAGGCGGUCUGUCAAGUCGGAUGUGAAAUCCCCGGGCUCAACCUGGGAACUGCAUUCGAAACUGGCAGGCUAGAGUCUUGUAGAGGGGGGUAGAAUUCCAGGUGUAGCGGUGAAAUGCGUAGAGAUCUGGAGGAAUACCGGUGGCGAAGGCGGCCCCCUGGACAAAGACUGACGCUCAGGUGCGAAAGCGUGGGGAGCAAACAGGAUUAGAUACCCUGGUAGUCCACGCCGUAAACGAUGUCGACUUGGAGGUUGUGCCCUUGAGGCGUGGCUUCCGGAGCUAACGCGUUAAGUCGACCGCCUGGGGAGUACGGCCGCAAGGUUAAAACUCAAAUGAAUUGACGGGGGCCCGCACAAGCGGUGGAGCAUGUGGUUUAAUUCGAUGCAACGCGAAGAACCUUACCUACUCUUGACAUCCAGAGAACUUUCCAGAGAUGGAUUGGUGCCUUCGGGAACUCUGAGACAGGUGCUGCAUGGCUGUCGUCAGCUCGUGUUGUGAAAUGUUGGGUUAAGUCCCGCAACGAGCGCAACCCUUAUCCUUUGUUGCCAGCGGU
RNAcentral lists this ribosomal RNA (1133 nucleotides) under Enterobacter mori. RNAcentral describes it as "bacterial SSU rRNA". It matches the Rfam family "Bacterial small subunit ribosomal RNA", at positions 1 to 1125 of the family's 1533-position model. RNAcentral also lists the same sequence under 2 other names. The record is from RNAcentral. Lineage: Bacteria; Pseudomonadati; Pseudomonadota; Gammaproteobacteria; Enterobacterales; Enterobacteriaceae.